RNAcentral lists this ribosomal RNA (253 nucleotides) under uncultured bacterium. RNAcentral's name for it is "partial 16S ribosomal RNA". It matches the Rfam family "Bacterial small subunit ribosomal RNA", at positions 524 to 776 of the family's 1533-position model. The record is from RNAcentral.
UACGGAGGGGGCUAGCGUUGUUCGGAAUUACUGGGCGUAAAGCGCGCGUAGGCGGCUUUGUAAGUUAGAGGUGAAAGCCCAGGGCUCAACCCUGGAAUUGCCUUUAAGACUGCAUCGCUUGAACAUCGGAGAGGUAAGUGGAAUUCCGAGUGUAGAGGUGAAAUUCGUAGAUAUUCGGAAGAACACCAGUGGCGAAGGCGACUUACUGGACGAUUGUUGACGCUGAGGUGCGCAAGCGUGGGGAGCAAACAGG